CUACUCUCUCUGUUUUCCCCUCUUCCCUCCAUGUUGACUUUUGACAAAUCAGGGUUCUGUCUCUUUUUUACAAUUGUAAGCAAUUCUUCACUAAAGUUUGCUACUCAGGGCAAUGAGACUAGACAUCAGAAUAAUUCCUAGAGAUCUAUUAUAGAUUAUUGUGUCAAUAGGUGUUCUUGUUUUUGUAGCACCAAGGAUUUCUUUGAGCUUUGCAGAUUGAGUUGCAGAUAUACUUCCUGCCCUGAAAGGUUAUGCAUUGUGAACAAUACAGGAUGAAUGCACUUUCCACCCCUUUUCUUGCAUCUGAACCCUUAUUUAGUGAGGCCUGGGAGUGCCACAACCUGGCUGAUGACCAAGCUGGUGUAAGUCUGUCUGGAGCUGUCAGAACUCUUGCUAUGAAAAAGAGACUUUCAAGUCAUGGCUCCAGACUAUUUUCAGAGCCUUAAAUUUCUCUGUUCCGUGAAUUGUCUAGCCAUUAGGCAACAGGCCUAACCUGGCCCACCUUCUGACCGUUCUCUGUUUUCAGCCGCUCGGUUUUGAGGGCAGAUGGUGUACCUUCCUCCUCCCAAUAACUGAAAAUCAGAUGGUUAGUCCCAUAUCUCCUCGGAUGUGAGCUGAGGCUUCUCUAUUUCUUAACUCUUCGGUGAGUUCUCUAACAGCUAGUCAUUAUAGAAAUGAUGGACAACCUACCGUCAUAGCAGAUGAGAUUAGUUGUAUUGAUAAUCGCAACUAGUUUUUUAGACUUCUCUGCAACAUGGAUAGAUACUGGGUUCCUGUGUGCACUGGCCUAUUAGGGGAAAGAGAGGUACAUUUCUCCCUGGAAGAGGCACUCUGCACAUGCAUGGCUGACUAAAAUGGAGCCUCUAGGAAUCCAGGCAAGCAGAGACAGGCAUCCAGUAAAGAAAGUAGCCUGAUAUGUUGUUAGGGACUUAAAGACUGAUAUUCUAUUUGGGACUUAGAGAUGGGUAUUAAGCAUUUAUGUCUCAGCUUAAACAAGACUGAAUACCCUCUGUUGUGUGCAAACUGAAGAAUCAUUAUCUCUGUUUGAGAGUUAUUUGAAUAUUUAUAAAAGGUGACAGGAUAAUCAAGAAUAAUUUGAGAGUAACUUACAGAAUGCUGUUCUUACAGAAGUAUAGACAGACAACUCUUAUUGGGUCAUUCUGUGGAAUAACAGUGGUUUUUUACUGAAUGUAGAUAUGGUAUUACAGCUUCUUCAGACUGAAAAUCUGAUGAGUUGUCUUGUGAAUGAC
This 1250-nucleotide long non-coding RNA is filed under the name Struthio camelus australis. RNAcentral describes it as "lncRNA (ENSSCUG00000009152.1)". The record is from RNAcentral. Lineage: Eukaryota; Metazoa; Chordata; Aves; Struthioniformes; Struthionidae.